CUCUGGUGCGCCAGAACUAAUACCGCAUUUGUUGCUUCGGCAAUGAAAGGGAAUCGCAAGAUUUUCGCUAAUUGAUAGGGAUAAGUCGUAUUAGUUUGUUGGUGGGGUAAUGGCCUACCAAGACGAUGAUGCGUAGCCGGGCUGAGAGGCUGAUCGGCCACAAGGGAACUGAGACACGGUCCCUACUCCUACGGGAGGCAGCAGUGAGGAAUUUUCGGCAAUGGGGGAAACCCUGACCGAGCAAUACUACGUGAAGGAGGAAGGUCUACGGAUUGUAAACUUCUGUUAGUGCGGAAGAAGGGCUGAAUGCAAGUUCAGCCUUGACGGUACGCACAGAGAAAGCCACGACUAACUACGUGCCAGCAGUCGCGGUAAGACGUAGGUGGCGAACGUUAUCCGGAAUUAUUGGGCGUAAAGGGUGCGUAGGCGGCGGAAUAAGUUAGUGGUGGAAAAUCGGGGCUCAACCUCGUGGAAGUCAUUAAUACUGUUUUGCUAGAGGACAGGAGAGGUUAACGGAAUUCCCUGUGGAGCGGUAAAAUGUGUAGAUAUAGGGAAGAACACCAAUAAGGCGAAGGCAGUUAACUAUUCUGUUCCUGACGUUGAGGCACGAAAGCGUGGGGAGCAAAUAGGAUUAGAUACCCUAGUAGUCCACGCCCUAAACGAUGAGUGCUAGACAUUGGAAACUUGAUUUUCAGUGUCGCUAGAUAACUCGGUAAGCACUCCGCCUGGGUAGUACGCUCGCAAGAGUGAAACUCAAAGGAAUUGACGGGGACUCGCACAAGCACUGGAGCAUGUGGUUUAAUCCGAUGCAACGCGUAGAACCUUACCAAGGCUUGACAUGUUUGGCAAAACUGUGGAAACACAGCGGAGGUUAUCCAAACACAGGUGCUGCAUGGCCGUCGUCAGUUCGUGCCGUGAGGUGUAUGGUUAAGUCCUAUAACGAACGCAACCCUUGGGCUUAGUUGCCAGCAUUACAGUUGGGACUCUAGGCCGAC
Molecule: ribosomal RNA, 995 nt
Filed under: Candidatus Moeniiplasma glomeromycotorum
Lineage: Bacteria; Bacillati; Mycoplasmatota; Mollicutes; Mycoplasmatales; Mycoplasmataceae
Description: bacterial SSU rRNA
Rfam family: Bacterial small subunit ribosomal RNA
Source: RNAcentral